Long non-coding RNA from Hydra vulgaris (swiftwater hydra), 762 nucleotides. RefSeq lists it as uncharacterized. Lineage: Eukaryota; Metazoa; Cnidaria; Hydrozoa; Anthoathecata; Hydridae. The record is from RefSeq and is a predicted model, not a curated record.
GCCCCAGUUAAAUAUUCUAAACCGAGUGCGCAACAAUGACAGAAUUAAGAAAACCAUCAAAAUAGUAUGAUACUCCGUAUAAUAUUGGAAGAGUCAACUCGAACGCUUAUAGCUGAUCUGAACUGAACUGCACGAGGCAUUGUAAAAUGUGCACACAAGAUUUUUGUAUUUCUUGAAAUGACAUAUUAUCUUCUAUUAUUAUUGUCAUAAAUGAUAUAGUUAUUGUUGUCAUAAAUUGUUGUCAUAAAUAGUAUAAUUAUUGAAUAUACUUAUAUAAAUAGUGUUGCAUUGAUUUUUGACAGGCUGAUAAUUUUAUACAAGCUAAAGACGACCAUUUUUUAAAUAUAAUUUUACUUUAGUGCUCUACCAACAAUCAUAAAUUUACUUUAUCUACAAUAAAAUAUGGUUUUAACUUAAAGUAAACUUUUGUCAUUUAAACUUUACUAUGUUGAUCAUUACCUAAUAGUGUAAAAAAAAAAUUAGUACGUCGCAAUCAAGGAUCAGUGUCAAGUAAUGUGUUUUGCAUACUUAUGUAUUUUUUGGGUGUUCUGUGUAUUAAAACUGAAACACAUCAUCUUUAUAUAAUAAUACGGAACUCAAUAGUAGUAGUUCCCUUUCGAGCACGUUUGACACAAAACCCAACGCAGCCAUUGCAACCGAGGUACUGGCGAGGAAGAGUCGCAGCACCUUUUUAUAAGAAAACAUUAACGAAAGUGUGUGCUAAUAAAUAACUUACUUAAACUUCAAAAUGCGAAAUGUCAA